GGAGGGGUGGCAGAGUGGUUUAAUGCACCGGUCUUGAAAACCGGCGUGGGCUUAUCCCCACCCAGGGUUCAAAUCCCUGCUCCUCCGCCA
This 90-nucleotide transfer RNA is filed under the name Shewanella avicenniae. RNAcentral describes it as "Shewanella sp. FJAT-51800 tRNA-Ser". It matches the Rfam family "tRNA". From Rfam's summary of the family: Transfer RNA (tRNA) molecules are approximately 80 nucleotides in length. Their secondary structure includes four short double-helical elements and three loops (D, anti-codon, and T loops). The record is from RNAcentral. Lineage: Bacteria; Pseudomonadati; Pseudomonadota; Gammaproteobacteria; Alteromonadales; Shewanellaceae.